RNAcentral lists this transfer RNA (69 nucleotides) under Loxodonta africana (African savanna elephant). It matches the Rfam family "tRNA". Rfam says of the family: Transfer RNA (tRNA) molecules are approximately 80 nucleotides in length. Their secondary structure includes four short double-helical elements and three loops (D, anti-codon, and T loops). Further hydrogen bonds mediate the characteristic L-shaped molecular structure. tRNAs have two regions of fundamental functional importance: the anti-codon, which is responsible for specific mRNA codon recognition, and the 3' end, to which the tRNAs corresponding amino acid is attached (by aminoacyl-tRNA synthetases). tRNAs cope with the degeneracy of the genetic code in two manners: having more than one tRNA (with a specific anti-codon) for a particular amino acid; and 'wobble' base-pairing, i.e. permitting non-standard base-pairing at the 3rd anti-codon position. Lineage: Eukaryota; Metazoa; Chordata; Mammalia; Proboscidea; Elephantidae. The record is from Rfam by way of RNAcentral.
GCUGCUGGCAAAGCGGUUAUGUGAUCAGCUGUUAACUGAAAGUUUGGUGGUUUGAAUCCACUUGCUGCU